RNAcentral lists this ribosomal RNA (426 nucleotides) under uncultured bacterium. Its description in RNAcentral is "bacterial SSU rRNA". It matches the Rfam family "Bacterial small subunit ribosomal RNA", at positions 355 to 774 of the family's 1533-position model. The record is from RNAcentral.
UGAUGAAUCUUCCACAAUGGGGGCAACCCUGAUGGAGCGACGCCGCGUGGAGGAUAAGGUCUUCGGAUUGUAAACUCCUGUCAUGCGUGAACAAGGUUGCCUGGUUAAUACCUGGGCAAAUUGAUGGUAACGCAAGAGGAAGAGACGGCUAACUCUGUGCCAGCAGCCGCGGUAAUACAGAGGUCUCAAGCGUUGUUCGGAAUCACUGGGCGUAAAGGGUGCGUAGGUGGCGUGGUAAGUCAGAUGUGAAAGCCCGGGGCUCAACCUCGGAACUGCAUCCGAUACGGCUGUGCUAGAGUACUGGAGAGGUGAGUAGAAUGCUCGGUGGAGUAGUGAAAUGCGGAGAGAUCGAGAGGAAUACCAAAGGCGUAGGAAGGUCAAUGGACAGUUACUGACACUGAGGCACGAAGGCCAGGGGAGAAAACG